Molecule: ribosomal RNA, 253 nt
Filed under: uncultured bacterium
Lineage: Bacteria
Description: partial 16S ribosomal RNA
Rfam family: Bacterial small subunit ribosomal RNA
Source: RNAcentral
UACGGGGGGGGCAAGCGUUGUUCGGAAUUACUGGGCGUAAAGGGCGCGUAGGCGGCCUUCUAAGUCGGACGUGAAAUCCCUCGGCUUAACCGAGGAACUGCGUCCGAUACUGAAAGGCUUGAAUCCGGGAGAGGGAUGUGGAAUUCCAGGUGUAGCGGUGAAAUGCGUAGAUAUCAGGAGGAACACCGGUGGUGUAGACGGCUUUCUGGACCGUAACUGACGCUGAGACACGAAAGCGUGGGUAGCAAACAGG